AGAAACAAAGUAUUAUUACAUUACAUGAGCUUUUCUUGUUCUUGUUAGGAGUAGGUUUUGUUCAAUCUGUAAUUUCUCUUAUUUUAAAGACAAAUAAGAAAAAUAUGAGAAUGACAAAGAAAAAAGAUUUUCAUACCUCAUUUUCUUCAUUAUGCUCAUGAAGCUCUAUAACUAAGUACGAGAAUCGGUUGACCCACCUUUGAUUCAUCUCCAAAUAGCAUCCCUUCUUUUUCGUCUUUCUAUGAACUUCAUUAUAAGUUGCAAGAUUGAUUGGGUUCCCGUUUAGGUUUGUCAGUUGCUUCAGUGGAAUAUCAAACUAUCGUGUCACAUCACCUUGUUGUAGCCCCAAUUGCCUAUAACAUAUGUCCGGGCGAACUAUAGCUAUGACAAAGAAAUUGAUGCAGGAGACAACUGCAUAUUUUAGACGACGAAGUUGCUGCUCAUACGGAGCAUGAAAGCCGUAUGGGCUCCAAUUUAUAUCAUCCUCAUUCAGCUCAUCAAAUUUGCCGUUGAACACAUUUUCCAUUAAAAUCUUCUUGGAAGGCCUUAAAUGAUCAAACAUCACUUUAAACCACUUGGUAAGUAAUGGAGUUUCAUUUGCUAAUUCUACUCCAUGGAGAAUUUCAACCUCUAAGAACUUGAAUAGCUCUAAUGCAAAUACAACUAAAACUAGAACAAAACAGCUAAAACUUUAAUGUGUACGAUUAGCUAUAUCAUGCUUGAUGUGACCCAACACUGCGGCUCCCCACGCAUAGUUGUCGAUCUCAUUAAAAUCCAACAAUGGCAAAUAAUGUGGCCCACCGGACUUUGACCGAGACGGAAAAAUACUAGUUGAGAGGCAGUAAAAGAUGAAGGCUUUUGCACGUACCUUCGAAGAAUAAACAGUGGCAGUAGUAUUAAAGUACUCUAGAAAAGUUUUCAGAUUAACCCCACCCUUGUAAGCAGGUUUUACUUUAAAAACGAACAUACUCUGUGCAAGACCCAUUUCCAUGUCGAGAUGUUUUACUAGUAAUUGGGCAGGAUUCUCUAUUAUUUCUCCCGUCACCGGGUUCCCAUCAAUGGGAAGUCCAGUAAUGUGCAGGAUAUUCUCAAACCCAAAAUCUAACUCAAACCCUUGGGCUCUCCAUCAUAUUUUAAUAUGAGAUGUUUUAAGAAGCUUAGAGGAAUCUGCAAAUCACUUUUUAUGGCAGACAAUAGAUCAUGGAGUGGAAGCAAGAACUUAAAACAAGUUCUUUCAACCUCUUCCCUGACGUCAUCUGUCAAUUUCCACUCCUUUAAUUUAUUCAAAUGCAUUUCUGAUUGUUUCAUCUGUCAAGGAAAAUCAUACAAUAAAGCAGCAACUUAAAAAACAACAAAGGAGCUAAAUUACUCAGCCAAUAAGCAUGGCACAUUGCACAUGCGCGCAGAUUGCAAAAGUUAGGUGUCAGAUUUACCUUCAAAAGUUCACAGAUGAUUUUAGAUUGCACAACGAAGAUGAUUUCAAAACGCCAGUUAUUGCCUCAGCUUGCUUUGAAGGACUUGAUGAUUCAUGUUGUGCAGUCUAAACCUGCCAAACGUUCUGGUGAUUACUUCUUGCGGCAGAUUGUCAAGCUUGAAAGGGUGAUCAACGAGAUGGACGCUAUAAAGCUGGAGUGAGUUGUUGCCCAUUAGCUCCUAAAUUGACUUCAUAAUUUAUCCUUUUUGGUUCCCUGUUUUACUUUGAUUAUCAGGCUGAAUUUUUCCUGAGGAGUCAGUAUGUUGUUUGGAGGUGGAGGAUGUAGUUAGCAUUCUAAAUGUAAUUUUAACUUUUCUUAACUUAAGUUGUUUUAUCUUAAGAAAUAACCCAUCCAUUUAUUGUUCCAAAAAAGAGGCUUAAGAAAGUUUCAUUAUUCUGGUGA
Molecule: long non-coding RNA, 1877 nt
Organism: Lotus japonicus
Lineage: Eukaryota; Viridiplantae; Streptophyta; Magnoliopsida; Fabales; Fabaceae
Exons: 3
Source: RefSeq, a predicted model, not a curated record